Molecule: ribosomal RNA, 404 nt
Filed under: uncultured bacterium
Lineage: Bacteria
Description: bacterial SSU rRNA
Rfam family: Bacterial small subunit ribosomal RNA
Source: RNAcentral
AUCCCUUGACAUCCUGCGAACUUUCUAGAGAUAGAUUGGUGCCUUCGGGAACGCAGUGACAGGUGCUGCAUGGCUGUCGUCAGCUCGUGUCGUGAGAUGUUGGGUUAAGUCCCGCAACGAGCGCAACCCUUAUCAUUAGUUGCUAACAUUUAGUUGAGAACUCUAAUGAGACUGCCGGUGAUAAACCGGAGGAAGGCGGGGACGACGUCAAGUCAUCAUGGCCCUUAUGGGAUGGGCUACACACGUGCUACAAUGGGGGGUACAAAGAGCAGCCAACUGGCGACAGUGCGCGAAUCUCAUAAAACCUCUCGUAGUCCGGAUCGGAGUCUGCAACUCGACUCCGUGAAGUCGGAAUCGCUAGUAAUCGUGAAUCAGAAUGUCACGGUGAAUACGUUACCGGGCCU